AACCUUAUGGACCUGCGGGCGUAUACCUGCGGAAGGAUCAUUAUCGAGUUGCAAAACUCCAACCCUUUGUGAACAUACCUCAGUCGUUGCUUCGGCGGUGGACGGCCUGUUUUUCGGAACGGCCGGAAGCCGCCGGAGGUUCCAAACUCGUAUUUUUUAGUGUAUCUCUGAGCCUGAAAACAAAUAAUCAAAACUUUUAACAACGGAUCU
Molecule: unclassified non-coding RNA, 210 nt
Filed under: soil metagenome
Description: partial contains 5.8S ribosomal RNA, internal transcribed spacer 2, and large subunit ribosomal RNA
Source: RNAcentral